This 465-nucleotide ribosomal RNA is filed under the name uncultured Leuconostoc sp. RNAcentral describes it as "bacterial SSU rRNA". It matches the Rfam family "Bacterial small subunit ribosomal RNA", at positions 338 to 795 of the family's 1533-position model. The record is from RNAcentral. Lineage: Bacteria; Bacillati; Bacillota; Bacilli; Lactobacillales; Lactobacillaceae.
CCUACGGGCGGCAGCAGUAGGGAAUCUUCGGCAAUGGACGAAAGUCUGAUCGAGCAACGCCGCGUGUGUGAUGAAGGCUUUCGGGUCGUAAAGCACUGUUGUAUGCGAAGAACAGCUAGAAUAGGAAAUGAUUUUAGUUUGACGGUACCAUACCAGAAAGGCACGGCUAAAUACGUGCCAGCAGCCGCGGUAAUAGGUAUGUCCCGAGCGUGAUCCGGAUUGAUUGGACGUAAAGGGAGCGCAGACGGUUUAUUAAGUCUUAUGUGAAAGCCCGGAGCUCAACGCCGGACUGGCAGUGGAAACUGGUUAACUUGAGUGCAGUAGAGGUAAGUGGAACUCCCUGUGUAGCGGUGGAAUGCGUAGAUAUGUGGAGGAACGCCAGUGGCGAAGGCGGCUUACUGGACUGCAACUGACGUUGAGGCUCGAAAGUGUGGGUAGCAAACAGGAUUAGAUACCCCGGUAGUC